RNAcentral lists this ribosomal RNA (332 nucleotides) under uncultured bacterium. Its description in RNAcentral is "bacterial SSU rRNA". It matches the Rfam family "Bacterial small subunit ribosomal RNA", at positions 568 to 898 of the family's 1533-position model. The record is from RNAcentral.
CGCGUAGGCGGGAUGGCAAGUCGGUCGUGAAAUCCUUCGGCUCAACCGAAGAACGUCGGCCGAUACUGCCGUUCUUGAGGGAUGCAGAGGAGACUGGAAUUCCCGGUGUAGCGGUGAAAUGUGUAGAGAUCGGGAGGAACACCGGUGGCGAAGGCGGGUCUCUGGGCAUCUCCUGACGCUGAGGCGCGAAAGCGUGGGGAGCAAACGGGAUUAGAUACCCCGGUAGUCCACGCCAUAAACGAUGACGACUAGGCGUGGGGUGGUUCAGUCCACUCCGUGCCGCAGCUAACGCAUUAAGUCGUCCGCCUGGGGAGUACGGCCGCAAGGUUGAA